This 253-nucleotide ribosomal RNA is filed under the name uncultured bacterium. RNAcentral's name for it is "partial 16S ribosomal RNA". It matches the Rfam family "Bacterial small subunit ribosomal RNA", at positions 524 to 776 of the family's 1533-position model. The record is from RNAcentral.
UACAGAGGGGCAAGCGUUGUUCGGAAUUACUGGGCGUAAAGGGCGCGUAGGCGGCCUGUUAAGUCGGACGUGAAAUCCCUCGGCUCAACCGGGGAACUGCGUCCGAUACUGGCGGGCUUGAAUUCGGGAGAGGGAUGUGGAAUUCCAGGUGUAGCGGUGAAAUGACGCAGAUAUCAGGAAGAACACCCGUGGCGAAGGCGGCUCUCUGGGACGGUACUGACGCUGAGACGCGAAAGCGUGGGGAGCAAACAGG